This 240-nucleotide unclassified non-coding RNA is filed under the name Hevea brasiliensis (rubber tree). The record is from RNAcentral. Lineage: Eukaryota; Viridiplantae; Streptophyta; Magnoliopsida; Malpighiales; Euphorbiaceae.
GUUCAGUAUUGAAAAUGUAAAUCUUAACAAGCAAUCUAGUUUUCUGAUGUGAAAUCAUCUAAGGGAAUAAAGGUUUAAACAUUUGGCAAUCAAGCAAAAUUUUCCAUGGCAUGAGCAGUUGUUAAGUCUAACACACAAAGUCCUAUGUGCUUAAAUUUGCAACUUCAGAGCAACAAGAAUACAAGAUCUACCAAUAAGCUUGCAUGUGAGAAAACUAAAUGAAAGAAAAAAUGGUCUAGA